UACGUAGGGUGCGAGCGUUGUCCGGAAUUAUUGGGCGUAAAGAGCUCGUAGGCGGUCUGUCGCGUCGGUCGUGAAAACUUGGGGCUUAACCCUGAGCUUGCGGUCGAUACGGGCAUGACUGGAGUUCGGCAGGGGAGACUGGAAUUCCUGGUGUAGCGGUGAAAUGCGCAGAUAUCGGGAGGAACACCGGUGGCGAAGGCGGCUCUCUGGACCACUACUGACGCUGAGGCGCGAAAGCUAGGGGAGCAAACAGG
Molecule: ribosomal RNA, 254 nt
Filed under: uncultured bacterium
Lineage: Bacteria
Description: partial 16S ribosomal RNA
Rfam family: Bacterial small subunit ribosomal RNA
Source: RNAcentral